This 345-nucleotide small RNA is filed under the name Pongo abelii (Sumatran orangutan). RNAcentral's name for it is "processed transcript". The record is from RNAcentral. Lineage: Eukaryota; Metazoa; Chordata; Mammalia; Primates; Hominidae.
UAUGGUACAGCAAAGGCCGAACAGCUACCAGGAGGCAACCUGAACGUGUCAGGGCCUGGGCACGACACUUGCCUUUCUUGGAGGAGUGAUUUGAAGCCAUAGUGGAAAACUGGGCCUCUAUAAAAAACGAACGAGGACACUCUUAAUGGACAGAUACAAAACAAGCCCCAGGAGAAAGGUGUAUCAGCCAUUUUAAAUCUGCCCUCAAAAGCACAGAACAAAUCAGAUGGCAUUUUGCUCAUAGAGGAGAGGGUCUGUGAGAACCAAAUUCCAGCUUCAGCACAUGACCUUGGGUACAGAUGGAGGAAGCUAUUUGACCUGCAUCAGACUUUACGUGAACAAAAG